Molecule: ribosomal RNA, 253 nt
Filed under: uncultured bacterium
Lineage: Bacteria
Description: partial 16S ribosomal RNA
Rfam family: Bacterial small subunit ribosomal RNA
Source: RNAcentral
UACGUACCGUCCAAACGUUAUUCGGAAUUACUGGGCUUAAAGGGUAUGUAGGCGGCGCUGUUAGUCGGGUGUGAAAUCCCACGGCUCAACCGUGGAAUUGCGCCCGAUACUGCAGUGCUUGAGGGAGACAGAGGUAAGCGGAACUGAUGGUGGAGCGGUGAAAUGCGUUGAUAUCAUCAGGAACACCGGUGGCGAAAGCGGCUUACUGGGUCUCUUCUGACGCUGAGAUACGAAAGCCAGGGGAGCGAACAGG